CAAGCGCUUAAGGUUGAGAGAGUAGGUAACGUCGUUAUCCGGUGUAAGUACUCUAGAAACCGCUUAGCCCACAGUGAUCUCCAAGGCGUAAAACGCGCGGCAGACAAAUAAGGCGGCGGCGAAAUUAAAGGUAAAAAAGUAUGUCGACAGUAACCGGUACCGUAAAGUGGUUUAACGAAUCCAAAGGCUUUGGCUUCAUCGAGCGUGAAGGCGGCCCAGACGUUUUCGUUCACUUCAGUGCUAUCAAGGGCGAUGGGUUUAAAACGCUGACAGAUGGUCAGAAAGUGGAAUUCACGGUCACGGACGGUCAAAAAGGCCCCCAAGCAGAGGACGUGGUUGCUGUCUGACAGUACUACGAACAUCCAAUUCCGUUCUCAGGGACGGAAUCAGAAG
This 393-nucleotide small RNA is filed under the name Congregibacter litoralis KT71. Its description in RNAcentral is "cspA thermoregulator". The record is from RNAcentral. Lineage: Bacteria; Pseudomonadati; Pseudomonadota; Gammaproteobacteria; Cellvibrionales; Halieaceae.